UACGUAGGGUGCAAGCGUUGUCCGGAAUUAUUGGGCGUAAAGAGCUCGUAGGCGGUCUGUCGCGUCGGCUGUGAAAUCCCGAGGCUCAACCUCGGGUCUGCAGUCGAUACGGGCAAACUAGAGUAUUGCAGGGGAGACUGGAAUUCCUGGUGUAGCGGUGAAAUGCGCAGAUAUCAGGAGGAACACCGGUGGCGAAGGCAGGUCUCUGGGCAAUAACUGACGCUGAGGAGCGAAAGCGUGGGGAGCGAACAGG
RNAcentral lists this ribosomal RNA (253 nucleotides) under uncultured bacterium. RNAcentral describes it as "partial 16S ribosomal RNA". It matches the Rfam family "Bacterial small subunit ribosomal RNA", at positions 524 to 776 of the family's 1533-position model. The record is from RNAcentral.